This 467-nucleotide ribosomal RNA is filed under the name uncultured bacterium. RNAcentral's name for it is "partial 16S ribosomal RNA". It matches the Rfam family "Bacterial small subunit ribosomal RNA", at positions 29 to 507 of the family's 1533-position model. The record is from RNAcentral.
ACGAACGCUGGCGGCGUGCUUAACCCCUGCCAGUCGAACGGAGAGGCCCUGCUUUUGUGGGGUGCUCGAGUGGCGAACGGGUGAGUAACACGUGAGUAACCUGCCCUUGACUUUGGGAUAACUUCAGGAAACUGGGGCUAAUACCGGAUAGGAGCUCCUGCUGCAUGGUGGGGGUUGGAAAGUUUCGGCGGUUGGGGAUGGACUCGCGGCUUAUCAGCUUGUUGGUGGGGUAGUGGCUUACCAAGGCUUUGACGGGUAGCCGGCCUGAGAGGGUGACCGGCCACAUUGGGACUGAGAUACGGCCCAGACUCCUACGGGAGGCAGCAGUGGGGAAUAUUGCACAAUGGGCGGAAGCCUGAUGCAGCAACGCCGCGUGCGGGAUGACGGCCUUCGGGUUGUAAACCGCUUUCGCCUGUGACGAAGCGUGAGUGACGGUAAUGGGUAAAGAAGCACCGGCUAACUACGUG